AGUCACGUGACAGCUCUCACACGGAGAGCGCUCAGCCGCGGCGUCUGCGCCGGAGAAGCCCCCACUGACUGGGAUUUUCUCUCAGAGCGACUGGGUGGCCCGCCUACUUCACCGAGGAGAGGCCUGUUACGCUCUGGCUGUCCUAACAACUCACCUAUAUCCCCACCCUUGUCUCACAGGCCGAGGUACAGGGGGGCGGUUAUUUCCUUCCUCAGCAGCGCGGCACACAGACUUCCGGUUAGCCCAGCGCCCACGACCAGUACCCGGGACAUGGCGGCUGCCCUUCGGCUAGGCCGCUGACAGAGACGCGGAGCCUCGCCGUCCCACUCUACCACUGUGUCCCCGCGUGGGUCAGGCAGGGCGGUGCCCUGCGCGAGACGUCUGCUCCUGAGAGCGCGGAGAACCCACAGGGGUGACUGAGGCCCCGGCGACUUUCUGCCCAGGCCUCCACCGGGCAGCUUGGUUACCCGGUGAGCCCCAAUCCCAUCGUCCCCUGGAGGAUAAAUCAGGAAGUCACCGCCAGUUGGCCUCUUGAGGAUGACUGAAGUGAGGGAGAGGAGUCAGCAGCAAAGCCACAGCCAGAUUUCUUCUGUGGUUUUAUAGGCCUCUUCAGGUGACAGAGGGUUUUGAAAUCAGAGACUUUUUUUUUUUUAAUCAUUGUUACACCACCUCAGAGACUAUAAAUUAUGUGUCCUUCCUGACAUUGGCUCCUCAGUGACUGCAAAAUGUGGAAAAUAAUACCUCCUUUCCAAAGUUGUGAAGAAUACAGUUUCCGUGGAGCCACCCUUACUUCUGGAGCACAAGUGCUGACCUGGGUCAUCAGGUACUCGAUGAAUGACAGCAGAUGCAUUCACUGAACAUUCUAGAAGGAAAGAUGAGCUCAUCCAUCCUGAUCUCCAGCUCUUCACUCAUAACUGGUGGACAGCAGACCUGUGCUCUCAUGGAUAGAACUUCAGCAUUGUCCUUUUUUUGCAUACCGAUUAGGGUUCCUUGAGAAUGGCCAUCUUUCCUCUAAUAAAUUAUCAACAGUAUCGGCUGAGGAGGAAGUUUAUUGGAAAGCAAUUGAGGAGUGAGUCUGAUCCACAGGACCCACCUUUUAAAAAAAAAAACCAGACAAGGACCUAGCAUGGCUGCCUUCUGAGAGGUCCAACAAGCAGCUGAAAGAGUCAGAUGUAGGAACCAGCACCGAACUAAUGUACUGGACAGAAGCCCGGAACCCCUGUAAUUGAAUUGAGAAAAAGCUGGAAGAAGCUGAGGAGGAGGGCAGGCCCCAGGCAAAGACCAGAAGCUUCAACUAAUCUGGACCCCUGAGAUCUCUCAAACAUUGAGACACCAAACAACAGCACUCAUCAGCUGGUAUGAGGCCUCCAACACAGAUACAGUAGAGGUUUGCCUGGUCUGGACUCAGUGAGAGAAGAUGUAUCUAACCCUCCACAAACUUGAGCCUCCAGGGAUUGUGUAGGUCUGGUGGGGUGGGGUGGGUGGUGGGAGUGGGAACAUUCUCUUAGAGAUGGGGCGGAGGGGGGAGGUAUGGGAUGGGGAGCAUCAGGUGUGUGUGUGUGGGGGGGUGGCAGACUGGGAUGGGGAUCAAGUAUGGACUGUAGAAUAUAAUAAAAGAAUAAUAAAAAAAAACCUUAAAAACAGAA
Long non-coding RNA from Mus musculus (house mouse), 1646 nucleotides. RefSeq annotates it as RIKEN cDNA 2810449D17 gene. The transcript has 5 exons. The record is from RefSeq and is marked validated. NCBI's taxonomy places the organism in Eukaryota, Metazoa, Chordata, Mammalia, Rodentia, Muridae.